UCGGCGUGGAUUAGGCAUGCAAGUCGAACGAUCCAGCAAUGGAUAGUGGCGAAAGGGUGCGUAACGCGUGAGCAAUCUACCUUCAAAUGGGGAACAACCUUGGGAAACCGAGGCUAAAACCGCAUAAGACCACGGCCUGGCAUCAGGCUGUGAUCAAAAGUAGGGACCGCAAGGCCUGCUGUUUGAAGAUGAGCUCGCGUCCUAUCAGCUAGUUGGCGGGGUAACGGCCCACCAAGGCUUUUGACGGGUAGCUGGUCUGAGAGGAUGGUCAGCCACAUUGGGACUGAGACACUGCCCAGACUCCUACGGGAGGCUGCAGUCGAGGAUCUUUUGCAAUGCCCGAAAGGGUGACAAUGCGACGCCGCGUGUGUGAUGAAGGUCUUCGGAUCGUAAAACACUGUCGGCCGGGAGGAAUCUCUGGAGCCAUAACAUGGCUGCAGGGUGACAGUACCGGCAAAGGAAGCCACGGCUAACUCCGUGCCAGCA
RNAcentral lists this ribosomal RNA (486 nucleotides) under uncultured organism. RNAcentral describes it as "bacterial SSU rRNA". It matches the Rfam family "Bacterial small subunit ribosomal RNA", at positions 39 to 513 of the family's 1533-position model. The record is from RNAcentral.